GAAGGAAUUUAAGAAGGAUUGGUAUCUGUUCUUUAAAUGUUUGGUAUGAUACAGCAGUAAAGCCAUCAGAUCCUAGGCUUUUCUUUGAUGGAAUACUUUUU
Molecule: long non-coding RNA, 101 nt
Organism: Sapajus apella (tufted capuchin)
Lineage: Eukaryota; Metazoa; Chordata; Mammalia; Primates; Cebidae
Exons: 3
Source: RefSeq, a predicted model, not a curated record